Mauremys mutica (yellowpond turtle) is the source of this 349-nucleotide long non-coding RNA. RefSeq lists it as uncharacterized. The transcript is spliced from 3 exons. The record is from RefSeq and is a predicted model, not a curated record. NCBI's taxonomy places the organism in Eukaryota, Metazoa, Chordata, Testudines, Geoemydidae.
CUCAGAGACACACGCUUUUGCAACCCUAAAGAGGCCAUUUUUUGGCAGAGUGCUGUAAGCUGCACCUUCCUUCCUUUAGUCAAAUAUGGCUAAAAAGGACCAAGAAUGCUGAAUGGAGGAAUCAUAGGCAAGCCUUCCUUUCAGUGGGAUCAGAUUCACUUUGAAUUACCGAACCCACCAAAGAAUUACAUCCUAACCUUGCGUGCAAUGCUGAUGAGAAGGCAUUUAAAAGCAAACAACACUGCAAUAUAAACAGCACCAUCUCAGAUUCCUCACGUAGCUAUGAAGAUGAAACUAUUGAAGCUGAUCCUCCUCCCCACCCCCGGCAAGACUGAAGUGAUACCGUGAG